CACUUGCUUCCUGAACACGCCCAAUCUCAUCUGAUCUCGGAAGCCAAGCAGAGUGGGGCCUGGUUAGUACUUGAAUGGGAGCCACUUGCUUCUGACCUUCUCCCAGACUAGGUGAGGGA
This 119-nucleotide ribosomal RNA is filed under the name Erinaceus europaeus (western European hedgehog). Lineage: Eukaryota; Metazoa; Chordata; Mammalia; Eulipotyphla; Erinaceidae. The record is from RNAcentral.